This is a non-coding RNA of Misgurnus anguillicaudatus (oriental weatherfish), 761 nucleotides long. The record is from RefSeq and is a predicted model, not a curated record. NCBI's taxonomy places the organism in Eukaryota, Metazoa, Chordata, Actinopteri, Cypriniformes, Cobitidae.
AUACGUAGUGGAUGUUCAAACACGCAUGCGCAGUUAAUAUAAUGUUACGCGCAUGCGCGGUGCUGUGUUGUUGUUGAUGAACAAUCGCACGUGCUUUGGUAUUUCAAGAAGAAUCUGCCGAAAAACGAAGGAUUAUUUAACAACAGUGAUUGUAUAAAGAUUUGACUGGAUUUGGCAAGAUGCCCUUGCUCAUUAAAGAAGAUGGAGAUGUGGCUUUUAUCAGACUGUUGACAUGCCAGCUUUUUCACUAUGUUGUUAGUAAAGCAUCUUUCAGAGAAAAGGCUCAUGUAGUCUGGCUUGACACUGUUGUCAACUGGAACACAUUCUCCGGGGUGUAGAGAUUUAUUUACAGACUGUCCACCAGGUCGAGUUGGAGGAAGGGUGUCCCAGGGAUGAAUUGUUCAUCUAUUCUGCAUCAGUAAAGCAGUGGUGGCGUGGCACUGACUUUAAACUAUUUAAGAUCAAACUGUGACAAAAGCUUUACCUGUGCUGACUGCAGUCAGUUAUAUGUGACCCUGCCUGUGAAAAAACAGUAUAAGUCUUGAAAUGUAAUUAUGAUAUAAUGAGCAUCAAAGUGUUAUUUUCAUUACUUUCACAUUGAUUUUGACAUUUGACAUGAUUUUACUCAGUCAACCCCACACACCCAGCCAACUUUGAACUUUUGCCCUUUGGCCGGCGCUACAAAGCACUGAACACUAUAAACAACAGUUUGUUCCUCAGGUUAUAUACCUAAACAAUUAAAGAACCCAUAACUUCCACAC